CAGUCGCCGCGGGAAUACAGAGGGUGCGAGCGUUAAUCGGAUUUACUGGGCGUAAAGCGUGCGUAGGCGGCUUCUUAAGUCGGAUGUGAAAUCCCUGAGCUUAACUUAGGAAUUGCAUUCGAUACUGGGAAGCUAGAGUAUGGGAGAGGAUGGUAGAAUUCAGGUGUAGCGGUGAAAUGCGUAGAGAUCUGGAGGAAUACCGAUGGCGAAGGCAGCCAUCUGGCCUAAUACUGACGCUGAGGUACGAAAGCAUGGGGAGCAAACAGGAUUAGAUACCCGCGUAGUCCCUGUCUCUUAUACA
RNAcentral lists this ribosomal RNA (301 nucleotides) under uncultured bacterium. RNAcentral describes it as "partial 16S ribosomal RNA". It matches the Rfam family "Bacterial small subunit ribosomal RNA", at positions 509 to 808 of the family's 1533-position model. The record is from RNAcentral.